RNAcentral lists this ribosomal RNA (361 nucleotides) under Alcaligenes faecalis. RNAcentral describes it as "bacterial SSU rRNA". It matches the Rfam family "Bacterial small subunit ribosomal RNA", at positions 509 to 871 of the family's 1533-position model. Lineage: Bacteria; Pseudomonadati; Pseudomonadota; Betaproteobacteria; Burkholderiales; Alcaligenaceae. The record is from RNAcentral.
UAGCAGCCGCGGUAAUACGUAGGGUGCAAGCGUUAAUCGGAAUUACUGGGCGUAAAGCGUGUGUAGGCGGUUCGGAAAGAAAGAUGUGAAAUCCCAGGGCUCAACCUUGGAACUGCAUUUUUAACUGCCGAGCUAGAGUAUGUCAGAGGGGGGUAGAAUUCCACGUGUAGCAGUGAAAUGCGUAGAUAUGUGGAGGAAUACCGAUGGCGAAGGCAGCCCCCUGGGAUAAUACUGACGCUCAGACACGAAAGCGUGGGGAGCAAACAGGAUUAGAUACCCUGGUAGUCCACGCCCUAAACGAUGUCAACUAGCUGUUGGGGCCGUUAGGCCUUAGUAGCGCAGCUAACGCGUGAAGUGACCG